RNAcentral lists this ribosomal RNA (770 nucleotides) under Micrococcus sp. M43. RNAcentral describes it as "bacterial SSU rRNA". It matches the Rfam family "Bacterial small subunit ribosomal RNA", at positions 399 to 1180 of the family's 1533-position model. Lineage: Bacteria; Bacillati; Actinomycetota; Actinomycetes; Micrococcales; Micrococcaceae. The record is from RNAcentral.
GCGUGAGGGAUGACGGCCUUCGGGUUGUAAACCUCUUUCAGUAGGGAAGAAGCGAAAGUGACGGUACCUGCAGAAGAAGCACCGGCUAACUACGUGCCAGCAGCCGCGGUAAUACGUAGGGUGCGAGCGUUAUCCGGAAUUAUUGGGCGUAAAGAGCUCGUAGGCGGUUUGUCGCGUCUGUCGUGAAAGUCCGGGGCUUAACCCCGGAUCUGCGGUGGGUACGGGCAGACUAGAGUGCAGUAGGGGAGACUGGAAUUCCUGGUGUAGCGGUGGAAUGCGCAGAUAUCAGGAGGAACACCGAUGGCGAAGGCAGGUCUCUGGGCUGUAACUGACGCUGAGGAGCGAAAGCAUGGGGAGCGAACAGGAUUAGAUACCCUGGUAGUCCAUGCCGUAAACGUUGGGCACUAGGUGUGGGGAACAUUCCACGUUUUCCGCGCCGCAGCUAACGCAUUAAGUGCCCCGCCUGGGGAGUACGGCCGCAAGGCUAAAACUCAAAGGAAUUGACGGGGGCCCGCACAAGCGGCGGAGCAUGCGGAUUAAUUCGAUGCAACGCGAAGAACCUUACCAAGGCUUGACAUGUUCUCGAUCGCCGUAGAGAUACGGUUUCCCCUUUGGGGCGGGUUCACAGGUGGUGCAUGGUUGUCGUCAGCUCGUGUCGUGAGAUGUUGGGUUAAGUCCCGCAACGAGCGCAACCCUCGUUCCAUGUUGCCAGCACUUCGGGUGGGGACUCAUGGGAGACUGCCGGGGUCAACUCGGAGGAAGGUGGGGAC